RNAcentral lists this long non-coding RNA (197 nucleotides) under Dermacentor andersoni. Its description in RNAcentral is "uncharacterized LOC126520187". The record is from RNAcentral. Lineage: Eukaryota; Metazoa; Arthropoda; Arachnida; Ixodida; Ixodidae.
CAGAUGAUGAAGUUGAAAGCCAGGCAUGUGUUGUGCCCAUGCUAAUUCUCUCUCGCUGUGGAAGCGGCCGCCUGGCUGCGCGAAGCCAUCAUCUGGUGCUGUGUACAGCAAGCACAUGCUUCGGGCAAGGAGGGAGCCAGCACCACAUCUACAUCAGCAAGAACCUCGGUGCUCAAAAUAAACAUUUUCUGUGCAAA